GACGAACGCUGGCGGCGUGCCUAAUACAUGCAAGUCGAACGAGAGCGACCGGUGCUUGCACUGGUCAAUCUAGUGGCGAACGGGUGAGUAACACGUGGGUAACCUGCCCAUCAGAGGGGGAUAACAUCCGGAAACGGAUGCUAAAACCGCAUAGGUCUUCGAGCCGCAUGGCUUGAAGAGGAAAAGAGGCGCAAGCUUCUGCUGAUGGAUGGACCCGCGGUGCAUUAGCUAGUUGGUGAGGUAACGGCUCACCAAGGCCGUGAUGCAUAGCCGACCUGAGAGGGUGAUCGGCCACACUGGGACUGAGACACGGCCCAAACUCCUACGGGAGGCAGCAGUAGGGAAUCUUCCGCAAUGGACGCAAGUCUGACGGAGCAACGCCGCGUGAGUGAAGAAGGUUUUCGGAUUGUAAAACUCUGUUGUUAGAGAAGAACAAGUGCUAGAGUAACUGUUAGCGCCUUGACGGUAUCUAACCAGAAAGCCACGGCUAACUACGUGCCAGCAGCCGCGGUAAUACGUAGGUGGCAAGCGUUGUCCGGAUUUAUUGGGCGUAAAGCGAGCGCAGGCGGUUCCUUAAGUCUGAUGUGAAAGCCCCCGGCUCAACCGGGGAGGGUCAUUGGAAACUGGGGAACUUGAGUGCAGAAGAGGAGAGUGGAAUUCCAUGUGUAGCGGUGAAAUGCGUAGAUAUAUGGAGGAACACCAGUGGCGAAGGCGACUCUCUGGUCUGUAACUGACGCUGAGGCUCGAAAGCGUGGGUAGCAAACAGG
This 767-nucleotide ribosomal RNA is filed under the name uncultured Granulicatella sp. RNAcentral's name for it is "bacterial SSU rRNA". It matches the Rfam family "Bacterial small subunit ribosomal RNA", at positions 28 to 776 of the family's 1533-position model. Lineage: Bacteria; Bacillati; Bacillota; Bacilli; Lactobacillales; Carnobacteriaceae. The record is from RNAcentral.